CUAAGGGAACAGAGGCAAAGGGGUCCCAGUGGAAAAUUCUGUAAGGACAUUAGAGAACUGUAAAUACUGGUGAUUAGUGUCAUAAACUGGCUUUGCUUGCAGAGCACGGUCGACAUCCCUCAAUCGCUGCAAUCUUCGGGAAACAAUUCCUUCCAAAAGCAAGUGGGAACUCAAAGCUAACACAGAGGUUUAUGUUGUGUGCUCGUAGCAUGUGCACUUUCUCUCAUUUGUGCAGACACUGA
This 242-nucleotide long non-coding RNA is filed under the name Zonotrichia albicollis (white-throated sparrow). RNAcentral describes it as "lncRNA (ENSZALG00000000800.1)". Lineage: Eukaryota; Metazoa; Chordata; Aves; Passeriformes; Passerellidae. The record is from RNAcentral.